AACGAACGCUGGCGGCAUGCCUAGCACAUGCAAGUCGAACGAGACCUUCGGGUCUAGUGGCGCACGGGUGCGUAACGCGUGGGAACCUGCCCUUAGGUUCGGCAUAACUCCCCGAAAGGGGUGCUAAUACCGGAUAAUGUCUUCGGACCAAAGAUUUAUCGCCUUUGGAUGGGCCCGCGUUGGAUUAGCUUGUUGGUAGGGUAAAAGCCUACCAAGGCGACGAUCCAUAGCUGGUCUGAGAGGAUGAUCAGCCACACUGGGACUGAGACACGGCCCAGACUCCUACGGGAGGCAGCAGUGGGGAAUAUUGGACAAUGGGCGAAAGCCUGAUCCAGCAAUGCCGCGUGAGUGAUGAAGGCCGUAGGGUUGUAAAGCUCUUUUACCCGGGAUGAUAAUGACAGUACCGGGAGAAUAAGCUCCGGCUAACUCCGUG
RNAcentral lists this ribosomal RNA (433 nucleotides) under uncultured bacterium. RNAcentral describes it as "partial 16S ribosomal RNA". It matches the Rfam family "Bacterial small subunit ribosomal RNA", at positions 29 to 507 of the family's 1533-position model. The record is from RNAcentral.